RNAcentral lists this non-coding RNA (80 nucleotides) under unclassified sequences. The record is from RNAcentral.
UAAAUAAUGUCGCCGGACAUAACAAGCAAUUAACAACUCUCUUAGGCCAAUGUGAGAGUUGUUAAUUGCUUCUUUUUUUU